AGUGAACGCUGGCGGUAGGCCUAACACAUGCAAGUCGAACGGCAGCACAGUAAGAGCUUGCUCUUACGGGUGGCGAGUGGCGGACGGGUGAGGAAUACAUCGGAAUCUACUUUUUCGUGGGGGAUAACGUAGGGAAACUUACGCUAAUACCGCAUACGACCUACGGGUGAAAGCAGGGGAUCUUCGGACCUUGCGCGAUUGAAUGAGCCGAUGUCGGAUUAGCUAGUUGGCGGGGUAAAGGCCCACCAAGGCGACGAUCCGUAGCUGGUCUGAGAGGAUGAUCAGCCAAACUGGAACUGAGACACGGUCCAGACUCCUACGGGAGGCAGCAGUGGGGAAUAUUAGACAAUGGGCGCAAGCCUGAUCCAGCCAUACCGCGUGGGUGAAGAAGGCCUUCGGGUUGUAAAGCCCUUUUGUUGGGAAAGAAAAGCAGCAGGUUAAUACCCCGCUGUUCUGACGGUACCCAAAGAAUAAGCACCGGCUAACUUCGUG
RNAcentral lists this ribosomal RNA (492 nucleotides) under uncultured bacterium. Its description in RNAcentral is "partial 16S ribosomal RNA". It matches the Rfam family "Bacterial small subunit ribosomal RNA", at positions 29 to 507 of the family's 1533-position model. The record is from RNAcentral.